Molecule: transfer RNA, 80 nt
Filed under: Felis catus (domestic cat)
Lineage: Eukaryota; Metazoa; Chordata; Mammalia; Carnivora; Felidae
Rfam family: tRNA
About the family: Transfer RNA (tRNA) molecules are approximately 80 nucleotides in length. Their secondary structure includes four short double-helical elements and three loops (D, anti-codon, and T loops). Further hydrogen bonds mediate the characteristic L-shaped molecular structure. tRNAs have two regions of fundamental functional importance: the anti-codon, which is responsible for specific mRNA codon recognition, and the 3' end, to which the tRNAs corresponding amino acid is attached (by aminoacyl-tRNA synthetases). tRNAs cope with the degeneracy of the genetic code in two manners: having more than one tRNA (with a specific anti-codon) for a particular amino acid; and 'wobble' base-pairing, i.e. permitting non-standard base-pairing at the 3rd anti-codon position.
Source: Rfam by way of RNAcentral
CUGGUUGGCUCAGUUGGUUAAGCGUCUGACUUUGGUUCAGGUCAUGAUCAUGUGGUACGUGGGUUUGAGCCCCACAUCAG